CAGCUGCCGCCCAUAGCUC
This 19-nucleotide small nuclear RNA is filed under the name Arabidopsis thaliana (thale cress). Its description in RNAcentral is "snRNA_02457". Lineage: Eukaryota; Viridiplantae; Streptophyta; Magnoliopsida; Brassicales; Brassicaceae. The record is from RNAcentral.